This 253-nucleotide ribosomal RNA is filed under the name uncultured bacterium. RNAcentral's name for it is "partial 16S ribosomal RNA". It matches the Rfam family "Bacterial small subunit ribosomal RNA", at positions 524 to 776 of the family's 1533-position model. The record is from RNAcentral.
UACGGGGGGGGCUAGCGUUGUUCGGAAUUACUGGGCGUAAAGCGCACGUAGGCGGACUGGAAAGUAAGAGGUGAAAUCCCAGGGCUCAACCUUGGAACUGCCUUUGAAACUCCCGGUCUUGAGGUCGAGAGAGGUGAGUGGAAUUCCGAGUGUAGAGGUGAAAUUCGUAGAUAUUCGGAGGAACACCAGUGGCGAAGGCGGCUCACUGGCUCGAUACUGAAGCUGAGGUGCGAAAGCGUGGGGAGCAAACAGG